Molecule: ribosomal RNA, 253 nt
Filed under: uncultured bacterium
Lineage: Bacteria
Description: partial 16S ribosomal RNA
Rfam family: Bacterial small subunit ribosomal RNA
Source: RNAcentral
UACAGAGGGUGCGAGCGUUGUUCGGAAUUAUUGGGCGUAAAGGGUGUGUAGGCGGUUGGAUAAGUGUGGUGUGAAAUCUCCCGGCUUAACUGGGAGGGUGCGCUACAAACUGUCUGACUAGAGUGUGGGAUGGGUAAGUGGAAUUCCUGGUGUAGCGGUGAAAUGCGUAGAUAUCAGGAGGAACACCAAUGGCGAAGGCAGCUCGCUGGGACGUGACUGACGCUGAGACGCGAAAGCGUGGGGAGCAAACAGG